This is a long non-coding RNA of Sander lucioperca (pikeperch), 1197 nucleotides long. RefSeq lists it as uncharacterized. NCBI's taxonomy places the organism in Eukaryota, Metazoa, Chordata, Actinopteri, Perciformes, Percidae. The transcript has 2 exons. The record is from RefSeq and is a predicted model, not a curated record.
CACACACACACACAGAAACACACACACACACACACGCACACAUUCUCCCUCUUUUAUCUCUAUCCUGCACAUAUCAACACACCCACACACACACACACACAUGACAUUCUCACCCAGCCUCUGUGACCCAGUCUGUCUGUGUUCUUAUUUAUCAGGUUGUGUCUGUGUGCCUGUUAAAGAGACCAUGCCUUUGUGUGUUGGGGUUGUUUGUGCCCAGUGAUGCGAUGCCCCCCAGCCAGUAACUGCCAAUAAUCUUGCCAUACAGUGAUCCACUUUGCUGUAUACCCCAGAAAGAGUCCAGAAACGGAGGCUAACUUGUAUUAAAUCCACCAUCGCACUUCGGAGUAGUGACAUGAAACUGCUCACUUCUGAGCCAACUUACAAGAGGAAAAAAAGCACAAAAACAAGGAAAAAAAAAAAAAAGGUUGUAGAUGUAUUUAGUCAGCACUGAUCAUCUCUGUCAUGUUUGUUUUUUUCUAUAGUUUGUUUCUGUGGUAGAUAUUUGUUUGAGAUUAUACGGAAUAUUAUUGUAUAUGAUUUUUAAUUUCUCUGGUGUGCCGGAUUUGAUGAUGACAAUGAAGACGAACCUGAUGACUAUCAUGAUAAUUAUUUUAUUGACAGUGACAAUGAAGCAGUACUGUGAGCAGCACUGAGGUGUUGUGUGUUUUAUUUGGAUGCUGAGUCUGAAAGGAAAUGGACAGGAAGAGAAGGACUAGGAGUGACUGAACUCAUACAGACUGAGGUUCAAAAAGAGAUUCUGCUUUUCUCCUGCUACUGUGAAGGACCCCGCCGUCCUGCGGUCAUCAGAUGAAAACACAAUCAUGUCCCUGCUACGUGUACAUAACCUUGAUGCUUACAUGUAAUUUAAGUGCAGUAGCUGCAUGACGACACAGCCUCUGUGUGUGUACAGAAGUAGCGACGUGUGAAUUUGUACAGUACAUGCAAGUGUGUGUGUGCUUGUGUCCGCGAAGAAAUCUGUCUGUCGUCACGCAAAAAAAGCAACACGUGCAUGCACCCUCCAACAACUGCCCAGUACACACAUACACUGCACACACUACACACACGCAAACACACUCCAGCAGUUGUUCACCAUUGUCCACAUUGUCCUGAGCUCUGCCUGUCACUCCGCAUGGAGACUUUGCUCUAUGUCAACUUUCUUAUUCUAAUAAACCACUCAGACGUUGAUCUCCAAGGUGU